GUGGCCAAGUUUUUAAGGGCGCACGGUGGAUGCCUUGGCACCAGGAACCGAUGAAGGACGUGGGAGGCCACGAUAGGCCCCGGGGAGUCGUCAACCAGGCUUUGAUCCGGGGGUGUCCGAAUGGGGGAAACCCGGCAGUCGUCAUGGGCUGUCACCCUUGCCUGAACACAUAGGGCAAGUGGAGGGAACGCGGGGAAGUGAAACAUCUCAGUACCCGCAGGAAGAGAAAACAACCGUGAUUCCGGGAGUAGUGGCGAGCGAAACCGGAUGAGGCCAAACCGUAUGCGUGUGAGACCCGGCAGGGGUUGCGUAUACGGGGUUGUGGGAUCUCUCUUGAUCAGUCUGCCGGCUGGUCGACGAGUCAGAAACCGUUGAUGUAGGCGAAGGACAUGCGAAAGGUCCGGCGUAGAGGGUAAGACCCCCGUAGUCGAAACAUCAGCGGCUCGUUUGAGAGACACCCAAGUAGCACGGGGCCCGAGAAAUCCCGUGUGAAUCUGGCGGGACCACCCGCUAAGCCUAAAUAUUCCCUGGUGACCGAUAGCGGAUAGUACCGUGAGGGAAUGGUGAAAAGUACCGCGGGAGCGGAGUGAAAUAGUACCUGAAACCGUGUGCCUACAAGCCGUGGGAGCGUCGCGUUGCAUGCUUGCAUGCAACGUCGUGACUGCGUGCCUUUUGAAGAAUGAGCCUGCGAGUUUGCGGUGUGUUGCGAGGUUAACCCGAGUGGGGAAGCCGUAGCGAAAGCGAGUCCGAAUAGGGCGGUAUAUAGUAGCGCGCUCAAAGACCGAAGCGGAGUAUCUAGCCAUGGGCAGGUUGAAGCGGAGGUAAGACUUCGUGGAGGACCGAACCCACCAGGGUUGAAAACCUGGG
RNAcentral lists this ribosomal RNA (867 nucleotides) under Streptomyces sp. Ag82_G5-5. RNAcentral's name for it is "bacterial LSU rRNA". It matches the Rfam family "Bacterial large subunit ribosomal RNA", at positions 1 to 801 of the family's 2925-position model. Lineage: Bacteria; Bacillati; Actinomycetota; Actinomycetes; Kitasatosporales; Streptomycetaceae. The record is from RNAcentral.